Long non-coding RNA from Marmota monax (woodchuck), 1127 nucleotides. RefSeq lists it as uncharacterized. The transcript has 4 exons. Lineage: Eukaryota; Metazoa; Chordata; Mammalia; Rodentia; Sciuridae. The record is from RefSeq and is a predicted model, not a curated record.
GGCUGUCACGCUGAGACUUUCUCCAGGAGCUGGGGUGGCAGUGCUGAUAUUUUUAUAGCAGCAGAGCAUGCCAGAGUCCAGCAGCUGUUCGGGAUGAGCCAUCCCUUUCAGUUGGCCUGGACAUCGCUAAAAUGAACAGUGCCGAAAAUCACUCCUGGGAUCUGUAAGCCCAUCUUUCUCAGAGGCAGUUUGUCUUCUGGCACAGUUUUUUCCAUCAACGAGGCUGAAGCAAGAGAGGGUUUCCCAGCAGCCCAGUUCAGGUUCCAUUCUAGGAGGAACAAAGCCUGCGGGCCCAUGGCAGAGGAACCCCAAGUUUCCUCCCACCUAGAAUUUUUCUUCAGGGCCACCCCGCAGGGCAGCCAGUGACCUUUUGGGCAUCAGUCCUUGAUAGGUAUGGAGAGACCAUUUUCAGGCAACAGCCUUGGAAUCUCACCUGCCUCACCUCUGGCCUUGACAUGCCUUAGAUGGAAUGAGGGCUAAAGGUCACCCUGGAGAUCUCUGAGAGGCCAGGGGAUUUCGGGGCCCACUUGCUUACCAGUUUGACUUCUGCCCUGUGUACCACCCUCACCUCCACCCCACUGUGGUAACUAGAAAAAAAAAAAAAAAAAAAAAAAACGAAACCUUUGCAUGAAAGGAAGCAGGGGAAGUCUCUGAAGUGUGACUGCAAACCUGAAAACAGAAAACUAGUCUUGCAUCACCAUCUGGAAGACAAGAGUUUGAGGAGAAACAGAAAGCAACUUUUAACCCCUGAGAGGCUGCACUUAGUCACUGAGAGAACAUCCUGUUGCCUCCUUGCUUCUGAACAGGACUGCUGGCUGGAGGGCUUGCACUGUCCCUUGGGCCCAGGAGGAAACAGAGGCCCAGAGUAGGAUGGUAUCACUGGGAGGGUUCAUCACCAUUCUUUCCACAAAUGAAGCUGGAUUCCUGUAUGUCAUCUCAUCCUUGCAGCUCUCCUGGGAACUGGAAGGCACUGAGGAACCUUUGGAAGUAGAGGAUAGUGGCUAUCUAUGUAAGAAUCCAUUCAUUCAUUCUUGGAGCAAGUAUUUAAUGAACACCUGUUUUGUGCCAGGCCCCAUUCGAGUCAAUGAAAUCAAUUGGUAGGUAAUCACUUAAAAAUAAAAAAACAA